Molecule: long non-coding RNA, 661 nt
Filed under: Hordeum vulgare
Lineage: Eukaryota; Viridiplantae; Streptophyta; Magnoliopsida; Poales; Poaceae
Description: long non-coding RNA (HVUL_LNC002041)
Source: RNAcentral
AGCGGAGGCCUCGCGGCGCUGCUCGUGCGGGACUCGGUGGCGCUCUCGGCGCACCGACGGUGGGUGAUGAUGCUGGAGGCCGAGAACUCCGCGCUCAGGGCAGGAGGAGGAGCCGCCGGCGCGGAGCCCGAGGAGGACGAUGGCGCGGGGCACCGGGUGGCUGCCGCGUGGUGGGUCGCGCUGGUGGUGUGCGUCGGCCUCGCCCUCGGCAACCUCCUGCUCUGAAAAGUGAAAACUCACCUCCUGCUGUGAAAACCGAAAUUAAUCAAUCAUCCUUGAUUUGAUUUUUGUAAAUCAAGCGCCCGUGUGUGUGUGAAAAUGUUCCUGCUAUCAUCGAUCGAUGCUUGGCAAGGGAACCCCGUGCUCUUGUUGAAAAACAGAUGAAAUCAAGAGGGUUGAUAGAUUGGAGCGGAAGCUGCCGUAUCUGUCUCUGCACGCGAUCAGCAGAUUCGUGCCGAGUCGUAGGUUAGUUAGUGAGUAUGGUUGUUUAAUUUAGCCUGAUCGAUCUGGAUAACAUAUUAACAUCUGGUCCUGGCACAGUGCUCCAUGAGUCAUGACUGCGACAUUUCAGCCGGUCGCCGGUUGGCUUUUGCACAUUUCAGCACAACGGGUAAUGAGCCACUGCCCAUUGAACCCGAGAUGGCUGUCCGAUCAAACUCAC